This is a long non-coding RNA of Culex quinquefasciatus (southern house mosquito), 302 nucleotides long. RefSeq lists it as uncharacterized. The record is from RefSeq and is a predicted model, not a curated record. Lineage: Eukaryota; Metazoa; Arthropoda; Insecta; Diptera; Culicidae. The transcript has 2 exons.
CCGGGGUUCAACGGUGUGGAACGUAAAUUAAAACAUAAUAAAACAUUAUCCGCAUCGUGGAACGCAUGGCAUCAGCAGCAGAGCAACACCCAGUGUGAUGGUGCGAGUGGAGUGUGAAUUCAUGAUGAAAGCCGCCAACCUCGCCGCACCGCUGCCAUCAUCAUCAAAUCAAUUGAAUAUCCGUGCGCUGGCAUCAACAGGAUAAUUGGGAACCAGUCAGCAGUCUUGGGAUGAAAAUGAAGGAAAAAAAAUGUUCUUUGAAUUAAUAAAAAAAGGAGAGUGUCACACUUUCAACGCAGAAG